RNAcentral lists this ribosomal RNA (116 nucleotides) under Danio rerio (zebrafish). The record is from RNAcentral. Lineage: Eukaryota; Metazoa; Chordata; Actinopteri; Cypriniformes; Danionidae.
AGUCACAGCCAUAUCACCUGCAGCCCAAGACCAGUUACUCACUGAAGCUUAGCAGGGCUGGGUCUAAUCAGUACCUGGAUGGGAGACCACAUGGGAAAACUGGGUUGCUGUUGGAA